AUUGAACGCUGGCGGCAGGCUUAACACAUGCAAGUCGAGCGGGGUGAUGGUGCUUGCACUAUCACUAGCGGCGGACGGGUGAGUAAUGCUUAGGAAUCUGCCUAUUAGUGGGGGACAACAUCUCGAAAGGGAUGCUAAUACCGCAUACGUCCUACGGGAGAAAGCAGGGGAUCACUUGUGACCUUGCGCUAAUAGAUGAGCCUAAGUCGGAUUAGCUGAGUUGGUGGGGUAAAGGCCUACCAAGGCGACGAUCUGUAGCGGGUCUGAGAGGAGGAUCCGCCGCAGUGGGGCUGAGACACGGCCCAGACUCCUACGGGAGGCAGCAGUGGGGAAUAUUGGACAAUGGGGGGAACCCUGAUCCAGCCAUGCCGCGUGUGUGAAGAAGGCCUUAUGGUUGUAAAGCACUUUAAGCGAGGAGGAGGCUCUUUUGGUUAAUACCCAAGAUGAGUGGACGUUACUCGCAGAAUAAGCACCGGCUAACUCUGUGCCAGCAGCCGCCGUAA
RNAcentral lists this ribosomal RNA (503 nucleotides) under uncultured bacterium. Its description in RNAcentral is "partial 16S ribosomal RNA". It matches the Rfam family "Bacterial small subunit ribosomal RNA", at positions 30 to 523 of the family's 1533-position model. The record is from RNAcentral.